Molecule: ribosomal RNA, 547 nt
Filed under: Fusarium sp. JJP-2009a
Lineage: Eukaryota; Fungi; Ascomycota; Sordariomycetes; Hypocreales; Nectriaceae
Description: eukaryotic LSU rRNA
Rfam family: 5.8S ribosomal RNA (bases 214-367)
Source: RNAcentral
GGUCAUUUAGAGGAAGUAAAAGUCGUAACAAGGUCUCCGUUGGUGAACCAGCGGAGGGAUCAUUACCGAGUUUACAACUCCCAAACCCCUGUGAACAUACCAAUUGUUGCCUCGGCGGAUCAGCCCGCUCCCGGUAAAACGGGACGGCCCGCCAGAGGACCCCUAAACUCUGUUUCUAUAUGUAACUUCUGAGUAAAACCAUAAAUAAAUCAAAACUUUCAACAACGGAUCUCUUGGUUCUGGCAUCGAUGAAGAACGCAGCAAAAUGCGAUAAGUAAUGUGAAUUGCAGAAUUCAGUGAAUCAUCGAAUCUUUGAACGCACAUUGCGCCCGCCAGUAUUCUGGCGGGCAUGCCUGUUCGAGCGUCAUUUCAACCCUCAAGCCCAGCUUGGUGUUGGGACUCGCGAGUCAAAUCGCGUUCCCCAAAUUGAUUGGCGGUCACGUCGAGCUUCCAUAGCGUAGUAGUAAAACCCUCGUUACUGGUAAUCGUCGCGGCCACGCCGUUAAACCCCAACUUCUGAAUGUUGACCUCGGAUCAGGUAGGAAUA